UACAGAGGUCUCAAGCGUUGUUCGGAUUCAUUGGGCGUAAAGGGUGCGUAGGCGGUCCGGUAAGUCCGCUGUGAAAGUCGGGGGCUUAACCCUCGGAUGCCGGUGGAUACUGUCGGGCUUGAGUACGGAAGAGGCGAGUGGAAUUCCUGGUGUAGCGGUGAAAUGCGCAGAUAUCAGGAGGAACACCAAUUGCGAAGGCAGCUCGCUGGGACGUUACUGACGCUGAGACGCGAAAGCGUGGGGAGCGAACAGG
RNAcentral lists this ribosomal RNA (253 nucleotides) under uncultured bacterium. Its description in RNAcentral is "partial 16S ribosomal RNA". It matches the Rfam family "Bacterial small subunit ribosomal RNA", at positions 524 to 776 of the family's 1533-position model. The record is from RNAcentral.